This 424-nucleotide long non-coding RNA is filed under the name Cricetulus griseus (Chinese hamster). RNAcentral describes it as "lncRNA (ENSCGRG00015033761.1)". Lineage: Eukaryota; Metazoa; Chordata; Mammalia; Rodentia; Cricetidae. The record is from RNAcentral.
AUUAACCCUUAUGUUCACAAGAUGGAAACAGCCUAAAUGUCUGAAUAAAUAUAUAUUCAUAGAAUUGAGAUUUCUUUUUUCUGUUUCUUCAAUUACAUUUUCCUAGACCAAAGAGGGCUAUUUCCUAUUUCAAAAAUGAAGAAAACUGUUAUAAAAGACUAUAAGAGUUGGAUGAAUGGAAGCAAUAGGCAUUCCUGUUCUGAAGGUCAUUGUGGCCACAUCAGGGAGGCAGAUGCACAGUGUUCACAGAUGUGUGCCUUGGACAUCAUCAACUCUUGCUGAGCAGAACGAGGCUCACGGUGGCAGACUGCAAACUCACAAUGAAGACUUCAGUCCCAAAACUCUUAGAUCAUGUUUUACCUUAAAGUCUCAAUUUCUGUUGGGUAUAGUCAACCAGUGAAGUGGGAACCAUGAAAGAUGUGCC